GAAAGAAAACUAUUAAGCAGGAGAAUACAAUACAAUGCAGUACCAGUCCACUGCUCUGUUUUGUAGACUGUCUACAAUAUAUAAACUGUAUCUCUGACACAGGUUAAAGAAUUUCCACUGACUUCAAAGAAAGUUCUGACUUAGCAGGGAAAGCAGAACCAAACUCUUUCUCAUCUGUUGAAUUGUUCCAUGAAGGAAUUAAUUCACUCAGAAGGAAGUUCAGACUAACAGGUUUUUUUUAAAGAAUCUUUUCCAAAGCACCAUUUGAAAAACCAACUCUUGUCCCACCCACUGCCUGAGAACAACAUCCCCCACCCACCCUGGAGUGAUAAGACCAGGACAGACCUGUUCCUUAACAUUACUCAUCCAGGGUCAGGGACAUCAGGCACAAACAGAAGGUGAGUUUGCAGCCCUCCUGGUAACAGCUCUAAUCGGAAGACAAAGGCAUUUCACAGCCAAGAUGACCUGCAUUUCCUACAUAUUGGCUUUUGCCCUUUACCUGGGAUGUUCAGUGGACCCGGUGACAGCUGCAUCAUGUCCUGCGCCUGGCGUUCCGAUAAACGAAACAGAAGUUUGUGAGAACAGAACCAGUAAUGAUGUCGGAGGGUCCUCCAGUUUCACUCAUUUAAUCUGUGACAAUCUACACCACCUGUCGGCGUGGAACAGUUCCUUUAUUAGCGCUGCGUUUG
Pelodiscus sinensis (Chinese soft-shelled turtle) is the source of this 689-nucleotide non-coding RNA. The record is from RefSeq and is a predicted model, not a curated record. Lineage: Eukaryota; Metazoa; Chordata; Testudines; Trionychidae.